RNAcentral lists this ribosomal RNA (2925 nucleotides) under Escherichia coli. RNAcentral's name for it is "23S ribosomal RNA". It matches the Rfam family "Bacterial large subunit ribosomal RNA". Lineage: Bacteria; Pseudomonadati; Pseudomonadota; Gammaproteobacteria; Enterobacterales; Enterobacteriaceae. The record is from RNAcentral.
GGGUUGUGAGGUUAAGCGACUAAGCGUACACGGUGGAUGCCCUGGCAGUCAGAGGCGAUGAAGGACGUGCUAAUCUGCGAUAAGCGUCGGUAAGGUGAUAUGAACCGUUAUAACCGGCGAUUUCCGAAUGGGGAAACCCAGUGUGAUUCGUCACACUAUCAUUAACUGAAUCCAUAGGUUAAUGAGGCGAACCGGGGGAACUGAAACAUCUAAGUACCCCGAGGAAAAGAAAUCAACCGAGAUUCCCCCAGUAGCGGCGAGCGAACGGGGAGCAGCCCAGAGCCUGAAUCAGUGUGUGUGUUAGUGGAAGCGUCUGGAAAGGCGUGCGAUACAGGGUGACAGCCCCGUACACAAAAAUGCACAUGCUGUGAGCUCGAUGAGUAGGGCGGGACACGUGGUAUCCUGUCUGAAUAUGGGGGGACCAUCCUCCAAGGCUAAAUACUCCUGACUGACCGAUAGUGAACCAGUACCGUGAGGGAAAGGCGAAAAGAACCCCGGCGAGGGGAGUGAAAAAGAACCUGAAACCGUGUACGUACAAGCAGUGGGAGCACGCUUAGGCGUGUGACUGCGUACCUUUUGUAUAAUGGGUCAGCGACUUAUAUUCUGUAGCAAGGUUAACCGAAUAGGGGAGCCGAAGGGAAACCGAGUCUUAACUGGGCGUUAAGUUGCAGGGUAUAGACCCGAAACCCGGUGAUCUAGCCAUGGGCAGGUUGAAGGUUGGGUAACACUAACUGGAGGACCGAACCGACUAAUGUUGAAAAAUUAGCGGAUGACUUGUGGCUGGGGGUGAAAGGCCAAUCAAACCGGGAGAUAGCUGGUUCUCCCCGAAAGCUAUUUAGGUAGCGCCUCGUGAAUUCAUCUCCGGGGGUAGAGCACUGUUUCGGCAAGGGGGUCAUCCCGACUUACCAACCCGAUGCAAACUGCGAAUACCGGAGAAUGUUAUCACGGGAGACACACGGCGGGUGCUAACGUCCGUCGUGAAGAGGGAAACAACCCAGACCGCCAGCUAAGGUCCCAAAGUCAUGGUUAAGUGGGAAACGAUGUGGGAAGGCCCAGACAGCCAGGAUGUUGGCUUAGAAGCAGCCAUCAUUUAAAGAAAGCGUAAUAGCUCACUGGUCGAGUCGGCCUGCGCGGAAGAUGUAACGGGGCUAAACCAUGCACCGAAGCUGCGGCAGCGACGCUUAUGCGUUGUUGGGUAGGGGAGCGUUCUGUAAGCCUGCGAAGGUGUGCUGUGAGGCAUGCUGGAGGUAUCAGAAGUGCGAAUGCUGACAUAAGUAACGAUAAAGCGGGUGAAAAGCCCGCUCGCCGGAAGACCAAGGGUUCCUGUCCAACGUUAAUCGGGGCAGGGUGAGUCGACCCCUAAGGCGAGGCCGAAAGGCGUAGUCGAUGGGAAACAGGUUAAUAUUCCUGUACUUGGUGUUACUGCGAAGGGGGGACGGAGAAGGCUAUGUUGGCCGGGCGACGGUUGUCCCGGUUUAAGCGUGUAGGCUGGUUUUCCAGGCAAAUCCGGAAAAUCAAGGCUGAGGCGUGAUGACGAGGCACUACGGUGCUGAAGCAACAAAUGCCCUGCUUCCAGGAAAAGCCUCUAAGCAUCAGGUAACAUCAAAUCGUACCCCAAACCGACACAGGUGGUCAGGUAGAGAAUACCAAGGCGCUUGAGAGAACUCGGGUGAAGGAACUAGGCAAAAUGGUGCCGUAACUUCGGGAGAAGGCACGCUGAUAUGUAGGUGAAGUCCCUCGCGGAUGGAGCUGAAAUCAGUCGAAGAUACCAGCUGGCUGCAACUGUUUAUUAAAAACACAGCACUGUGCAAACACGAAAGUGGACGUAUACGGUGUGACGCCUGCCCGGUGCCGGAAGGUUAAUUGAUGGGGUUAGCGCAAGCGAAGCUCUUGAUCGAAGCCCCGGUAAACGGCGGCCGUAACUAUAACGGUCCUAAGGUAGCGAAAUUCCUUGUCGGGUAAGUUCCGACCUGCACGAAUGGCGUAAUGAUGGCCAGGCUGUCUCCACCCGAGACUCAGUGAAAUUGAACUCGCUGUGAAGAUGCAGUGUACCCGCGGCAAGACGGAAAGACCCCGUGAACCUUUACUAUAGCUUGACACUGAACAUUGAGCCUUGAUGUGUAGGAUAGGUGGGAGGCUUUGAAGUGUGGACGCCAGUCUGCAUGGAGCCGACCUUGAAAUACCACCCUUUAAUGUUUGAUGUUCUAACGUUGACCCGUAAUCCGGGUUGCGGACAGUGUCUGGUGGGUAGUUUGACUGGGGCGGUCUCCUCCUAAAGAGUAACGGAGGAGCACGAAGGUUGGCUAAUCCUGGUCGGACAUCAGGAGGUUAGUGCAAUGGCAUAAGCCAGCUUGACUGCGAGCGUGACGGCGCGAGCAGGUGCGAAAGCAGGUCAUAGUGAUCCGGUGGUUCUGAAUGGAAGGGCCAUCGCUCAACGGAUAAAAGGUACUCCGGGGAUAACAGGCUGAUACCGCCCAAGAGUUCAUAUCGACGGCGGUGUUUGGCACCUCGAUGUCGGCUCAUCACAUCCUGGGGCUGAAGUAGGUCCCAAGGGUAUGGCUGUUCGCCAUUUAAAGUGGUACGCGAGCUGGGUUUAGAACGUCGUGAGACAGUUCGGUCCCUAUCUGCCGUGGGCGCUGGAGAACUGAGGGGGGCUGCUCCUAGUACGAGAGGACCGGAGUGGACGCAUCACUGGUGUUCGGGUUGUCAUGCCAAUGGCACUGCCCGGUAGCUAAAUGCGGAAGAGAUAAGUGCUGAAAGCAUCUAAGCACGAAACUUGCCCCGAGAUGAGUUCUCCCUGACUCCUUGAGAGUCCUGAAGGAACGUUGAAGACGACGACGUUGAUAGGCCGGGUGUGUAAGCGCAGCGAUGCGUUGAGCUAACCGGUACUAAUGAACCGUGAGGCUUAACCUUACAACGCCGAAG